Non-coding RNA from Ictidomys tridecemlineatus (thirteen-lined ground squirrel), 72 nucleotides. Lineage: Eukaryota; Metazoa; Chordata; Mammalia; Rodentia; Sciuridae. The record is from Rfam.
GGGGACGUAGCUCAGUGGCAGAGUGGUUGCUUUGUAUGUGCAAGAGCCUGGGUUUGAUUCCCAGCAUCACAA